This 407-nucleotide ribosomal RNA is filed under the name uncultured bacterium. RNAcentral describes it as "bacterial SSU rRNA". It matches the Rfam family "Bacterial small subunit ribosomal RNA", at positions 355 to 776 of the family's 1533-position model. The record is from RNAcentral.
UGGGGGAUAUUGCACAAUGGGGGAAACCCUGAUGCAGCGACGCCGCGUAAGGGAAGAAGGCCUUCGGGUUGUAAACCUUUGUUUUCGGUGACGAAAGAAAUGACGGUAGCCGAAGAGGAAGCUCCGGCUAACUACGUGCCAGCAGCCGCGGUAAUACGUAGGGAGCGAGCGUUGUCCGGAAUUACUGGGUGUAAAGGGUGCGUAGGCGGGGCUGCAAGUUGGAUGUGAAAUACCGGGGCUUAACCCCGGGGCUGCAUCCAAAACUGUAGCUCUUGAGUGAAGUAGAGGCAGGCGGAAUUCCGAGUGUAGCGGUGAAAUGCGUAGAUAUUCGGAGGAACACCAGUGGCGAAGGCGGCCUGCUGGGCUUUUACUGACGCUGAGGCACGAAAGCAUGGGGAGCAAACAGG